GGGGCGGCAGGCUAAACAUGCAAGUCGAGCGGCAGCGGAAAGUAGCUUGCUACUUUGCCGGCGAGCGGCGGACGGGUGAGUAAUGUCUGGGAAACUGCCUGAUGGAGGGGGAUAACUACUGGAAACGGUAGCUAAUACCGCAUAACGUCGCAAGACCAAAGAGGGGGACCUUCGGGCCUCUUGCCAUCAGAUGUGCCCAGAUGGGAUUAGCUAGUAGGUGGGGUAACGGCUCACCUAGGCGACGAUCCCUAGCUGGUCUGAGAGGAUGACCAGCCACACUGGAACUGAGACACGGUCCAGACUCCUACGGGAGGCAGCAGUGGGGAAUAUUGCACAAUGGGCGCAAGCCUGAUGCAGCCAUGCCGCGUGUAUGAAGAAGGCCUUCGGGUUGUAAAGUACUUUCAGCGGGGAGGAAGGUGGUGAGGUUAAUAACCUCACCAAUUGACGUUACCCGCAGAAGAAGCACCGGCUAACUCCGUGCCAGCAGCCGCGGUAAUACGGAGGGUGCAAGCGUUAAUCGGAAUUACUGGGCGUAAAGCGCACGCAGGCGGUCUGUCAAGUCGGAUGUGAAAUCCCCGGGCUCAACCUGGGAACUGCAUUCGAAACUGGCAGGCUAGAGUCUUGUAGAGGGGGGUAGAAUUCCAGGUGUAGCGGUGAAAUGCGUAGAGAUCUGGAGGAAUACCGGUGGCGAAGGCGGCCCCCUGGACAAAGACUGACGCUCAGGUGCGAAAGCGUGGGGAGCAAACAGGAUUAGAUACCCUGGUAGUCCACGCCGUAAACGAUGUCGACUUGGAGGUUGUGCCCUUGAGGCGUGGCUUCCGGAGCUAACGCGUUAAGUCGACCGCCUGGGGAGUACGGCCGCAAGGUUAAAACUCAAUGAAUUGACGGGGGCCCGCACAAGCGGUGGAGCAUGUGGUUUAAUUCGAUGCAACGCGAAGAACCUUACCUACUCUUGACAUCCAGAGAACUUUCCAGAGAUGCAUUGGUGCCUUCCGGGAACUCUGAGACAGUGCUGCAUGGCUGUCGUCAGCUCGUGUUGUGAAAUGUUGGAUAAGUCCCGCAACGAGCGCCACCCUUAUCCUUUGUUGCCAGCGGUUCCGGCCGGGAACCUCAAA
Molecule: ribosomal RNA, 1115 nt
Filed under: Enterobacter sp.
Lineage: Bacteria; Pseudomonadati; Pseudomonadota; Gammaproteobacteria; Enterobacterales; Enterobacteriaceae
Description: bacterial SSU rRNA
Rfam family: Bacterial small subunit ribosomal RNA
Source: RNAcentral